Long non-coding RNA from Sitophilus oryzae (rice weevil), 663 nucleotides. RefSeq lists it as uncharacterized. Lineage: Eukaryota; Metazoa; Arthropoda; Insecta; Coleoptera; Curculionidae. The record is from RefSeq and is a predicted model, not a curated record. The transcript is spliced from 2 exons.
UUUAACGCUUUAUAUCCUUCUAAAUUACAAAUUAUUUUUUUUAUUCACAGGUUUCAUAAAAACUAUUUUUCUAAUGGUCAGUUUAGAUUUGUGAUUUGAUUUUUUACACCUGUGUUGCCAAGAUGUUAGCGAAGUCUUUAAACUAAUCUAAAUCAAUAUUUUUAUUCACUUUACCUUAUUCAACUUUGUGAGAUUGAAAAUGGCAGGAUUUUUUAAUUUUAAUUUUGAGGAAGCCAAAAGGCUCUCCGGGUUCUCAGACUGGAUCAAAAAUAGCGAAGGAAAUUGGACGAUCCAACUGGCUAUGACAGAAUGACAGAAUAUCGCUACCAUCCUGAUGCUAUAGUUUUGGUGAUUAAAAAGAAUAAAUUAGUGAUUACUGCCCGGAAAGGGGUGCUUGGAAGUAAUGGACAAAGACAAACAUCUGCAAUGAGAGCGUUCAGUGGGAGUAUUCACUACCUGAUGGAGUAGGGAAAGUGAAGGAGAUUGUAAGGGCCUGGCACAACGGUACCCUUUCAGCUACCUUAAUCGAAUAAAUAUAGGGUCAUCUCAACGCCACGCGACGCCGACGCAUAUUAAUCAUAUUAUGUAAAAAAUAUAUAUGUUUAUUUAAGAGCCUGCAUUUGUAGAAUAUACACACAGUUAAAAUAAAUGCAUUUGUAGACA